UUCAAAAAAGGUCGCCCACUCUGACUUA
RNAcentral lists this non-coding RNA (28 nucleotides) under Mus musculus (house mouse). Lineage: Eukaryota; Metazoa; Chordata; Mammalia; Rodentia; Muridae. The record is from RNAcentral.